GGCUUGAUGGUCUAGCGGUAUGAUUCCUUCUUAGGGUGGAGGAGGUCCCGGGUUCGAUUCCCGGUCAAGCCC
Molecule: transfer RNA, 72 nt
Filed under: Wolfiporia cocos MD-104 SS10
Lineage: Eukaryota; Fungi; Basidiomycota; Agaricomycetes; Polyporales; Phaeolaceae
Description: tRNA-Pro (AGG) (tRNA-Pro-AGG-1-1)
Rfam family: tRNA
About the family: Transfer RNA (tRNA) molecules are approximately 80 nucleotides in length. Their secondary structure includes four short double-helical elements and three loops (D, anti-codon, and T loops).
Source: RNAcentral